Molecule: unclassified non-coding RNA, 337 nt
Filed under: soil metagenome
Description: partial contains 5.8S ribosomal RNA, internal transcribed spacer 2, and large subunit ribosomal RNA
Rfam family: 5.8S ribosomal RNA (bases 1-120)
Source: RNAcentral
GAUGAAGAACGCAGCGAAAUGCGAUAAGUAGUGUGAAUUGCAGAAUUCAGUGAAUCAUCGAAUCUUUGAACGCACAUUGCGCCCCUUGGUAUUCCAUGGGGCAUGCCUGUUCGAGCGUCAUUUGUACCUUCAAGCUCUGCUUGGUGUUGGGUGUUUGUCUCGCCUCUGCGUGUAGACUCGCCUCAAAACAAUUGGCAGCCGGCGUAUUGAUUUCGGAGCGCAGUACAUCUCGCGCUUUGCACUCAUAACGACGACGUCCAAAAGUACAUUUUUACACUCUUGACCUCGGAUCAGGUAAGGAUACCCGCUGAACUUAAGCAUAUCAAUAAGCGGAGGA